CCACAACAGCCAAAGCACAUCAAACAGAACAUAAGAAGAGAUCAACAUUACACAAGACUGACGCCCAGCUCAUCCUCCUACAGCUUUAGCACCCGCCAUCUGGCGCUCAAGAAAUAUCGCAUAAACACAUAUUUGAGAGAAUUAAUUAGGCUAUCGACUCAGAGCUGCAGUAGAAUAAUAAAAAGCGUGAUAUAGUUGUCAUAUAUUACUGACGUUUGUAGGUCAUCUUCCGUGCUCAAGAUAACAAGGUCCUGUUUGCUGUAGUUUCCGCGAGAGCUCUGGCAGACAUAAUGGUUGUUCCCACCCCCAGUACUUUUGACACAUUGUUUCCACUGGAGUACUCCCACAACCUCAUCCAUGACUCCGGCGCUAUUCGCAUCAGGCGGUCGGUGAGGAGUGAGGCGCCGAGGACGGUCAGCUACU
Procambarus clarkii (red swamp crayfish) is the source of this 423-nucleotide non-coding RNA. The record is from RefSeq and is a predicted model, not a curated record. NCBI's taxonomy places the organism in Eukaryota, Metazoa, Arthropoda, Malacostraca, Decapoda, Cambaridae.